This 466-nucleotide ribosomal RNA is filed under the name uncultured bacterium. RNAcentral's name for it is "partial 16S ribosomal RNA". It matches the Rfam family "Bacterial small subunit ribosomal RNA", at positions 28 to 507 of the family's 1533-position model. The record is from RNAcentral.
GAUGAACGCUGGCGGCGUGCUUAACACAUGCAAGUCGAACGAUGAAGCCCAGCUUGCUGGGUGGAUUAGUGGCGAACGGGUGAGUAACACGUGAGUAACCUGCCCUUAACUCUGGGAUAAGCCUGGGAAACUGGGUCUAAUACCGGAUAGGAGCGUCCACCGCAUGGUGGGUGUUGGAAAGAUUUAUCGGUUUUGGAUGGACUCGCGGCCUAUCAGCGUGUUGGUGGGGUAAUGGCUCACCAAGGCGACGACGGGUAGCCGGCCUGAGAGGGUGACCGGCCACACUGGGACUGAGACACGGCCCAGACUCCUACGGGAGGCAGCAGUGGGGAAUAUUGCACAAUGGGCGCAAGCCUGAUGCAGCGACGCCGCGUGAGGGAUGACGGCCUUCGGGUUGUAAACCUCUUUCAGUAGGGAAGAAGCGAAAGUGACGGUACCUGCAGAAGAAGCACCGGCUAACUACGUG